RNAcentral lists this ribosomal RNA (723 nucleotides) under Nocardia sp. Its description in RNAcentral is "bacterial SSU rRNA". It matches the Rfam family "Bacterial small subunit ribosomal RNA", at positions 87 to 824 of the family's 1533-position model. The record is from RNAcentral. Lineage: Bacteria; Bacillati; Actinomycetota; Actinomycetes; Mycobacteriales; Nocardiaceae.
GUACACGAGCGGCGAACGGGUGAGUAACACGUGGGUGAUCUGCCUUGCACUCUGGGAUAAGCCUGGGAAACUGGGUCUAAUACCGGAUAUGACUUCCAGUUGCAUGACUGGGGGUGGAAAGAUUUAUCGGUGCAAGAUGAGCCCGCGGCCUAUCAGCUUGUUGGUGGGGUAAUAGCCUACCAAGGCGACGACGGGUAGCCGGCCUGAGAGGGCGAUCGGCCACACUGGGACUGAGACACGGCCCAGACUCCUACGGGAGGCAGCAGUGGGGAAUAUUGCACAAUGGGCGAAAGCCUGAUGCAGCGACGCCGCGUGAGGGAUGACGGCCUUCGGGUUGUAAACCUCUUUCGACUCCGACGAAGCGAAAGUGACGGUAGGAGUAUAAGAAGCACCGGCCAACUACGUGCCAGCAGCCGCGGUAAUACGUAGGGUGCGAGCGUUGUCCGGAAUUACUGGGCGUAAAGAGCUUGUAGGCGGUCUGUCGCGUCAUCUGUGAAAACUUGGGGCUCAACCUUAAGCUUGCAGGCGAUACGGGCAGACUAGAGUACUUCAGGGGAGACUGGAAUUCCUGGUGUAGCGGUGAAAUGCGCAGAUAUCAGGAGGAACACCGGUGGCGAAGGCGGGUCUCUGGGAAGUAACUGACGCUGAGAAGCGAAAGCAUGGGUAGCGAACAGGAUUAGAUACCCUGGUAGUCCAUGCCGUAAACGGUGGGUACUAGGUGUG